Molecule: non-coding RNA, 272 nt
Filed under: Caloramator quimbayensis
Lineage: Bacteria; Bacillati; Bacillota; Clostridia; Eubacteriales; Clostridiaceae
Description: T-box sequence
Rfam family: T-box leader
About the family: Uncharged tRNA acts as the effector for transcription antitermination of genes in the T-box leader family.
Source: RNAcentral
AUAAAAGCGAUGACAAGGAAGAAGUAGAAACUGUUCAAUCCUUAAAGAGAGUUGCCGGCUGGUGGAAGGUAACAGGAAUACAGUUUUGAAUACAUCCUUAAAGCUGCUCAUCAAAAGGAUUUAAUACUUUUAAAAGUCCGAGUAGGCUGAGCCGGCUGCCUGCACCCGUUACAGUGCUAGAGUAUAACUGCAUCUGUAGCGUACUUGAUAAGGUUGAUAUCGUGAGGUAUCAAUAAAUAAAGGUGGUAACACGGAGAAUAUCCGUCCUUUGA